AAAAGAAAGAAAAGAAAAGGAAGGAAGAAAGGAAGGAAGGAAGGAAGGAAGGAAGGAAGGAAGGAAGGAAGGAAGGAAGGAAGGAAGGAAGAAAGGAAGGAAGAAAGGAAGGAAGGAAGAAAGGAAGGAAGGAAGGAAGGAAGGGAGGAAGGAAGGGAGGAAGGAAGGAAGGAAGGAAAGAAGAGAAAGAAAAAGAAAGGAAGGAAAGAAGAGAAAGAAAAAGAAAGGAAGGAAGAAAGAAAGAUAGAGAAAGAAAAAGAAAGAGAGAAAGAGAGAAAGAAAGAAAGAAAGAAAGAAAGAGAGAAAGAAAGAAAGAAAGAAAGAAAGAAAGAAAGAAAGAAAGAAAGAAAGAAAGAAAGAAAGAAAGAAAGAAAGAAAGAAAGAAAGAAAGAAAGAAAGAAAGAAAGAAAGAAAGAAAGAAAGAAAGAGAAAGGAAGGAAGGAAAGAAGAAAAAAAGAAAAAGAAAGAAAGAGAGGGAGGGAGGGAAGGAGGGAGGAAGUAAGCGAGGGAGGGAGAAUAGAUUAUGGCAAAGAAAAAGACACAGGCUCUGUUUUCUAAUUCUAUGUAUUCUGCCAGAAUGCAGAACUUGUUGGUCUUCAGCAAAGUGCUUGCAGUGUGUUUCUCAAUAUCCCCUUCAGAAAGUGGCUAUAGGAAUCUCUCCCAUCUCCUACCUUUUCUGAGAAACCAUCCACCCUCAGCUGCAUUCUAACUAAUAAGUACAAUAUCACGUAGAGAUCAUUACGAAAGUAUCAUAACAAAAUAAUUGCCCCAUUUUGAGUGAAUAUAAAAUGCAUUUUUCCAUGUUACCCAUUAAUUCUGUCUAUUAAAAUGAUUCGUAUAGGUAUGUGUGAGGAGGAAGAGAGAGAGCUGACAGUGAUGGCCAGAAAUUUAAGGAUGGAAGGAAUCUUAGAGGUCAUCUGCUCAAACCACUUCCUUUUACAGAAGAAAUCAAGACCUAGAGAAAGUGACUUGCCUAAGGUCAGACAGGCAAUUGGUAAAAGAGCUGGGAUUUGAAUCUGGGUGGUCUGACUCCAAAGCCAGUACUGUUCUAUGCUGUCUGAUAUUUUGAAAUAUUUGCUCUUUUGUGGGUAAUAUAUGAAAUAGACCUUUGUGGUUUCUUCUAAGGGGCUUCCGAUCUCUAAGCUUCUGUCCACCACCCUCAUCACUACCUGAAGAUCAGGACAGCAUGGCACUGACUUCCAAGCCCUUCAUUGGUUAUUAAAUAUGUAGGUUCUCAAGGCACCAAGUCAUUUUACCAAGUUCCUAGAGAUGUAAGGUCAUUAAUUCUCCCUCCCUAUUUUCCCCUUGAUAACAAAGAAUUUAGGGUGCUGUAUCUUUUGCAACCCACUGGUCAUAAAGCAAAGACUAAAUAUCUAGUUGAGGUGUUACUGGAGCAGCUAGGUGGUACAAUGGAUAGAGCACUGGGCCUGGAGUCAGGAAGACUCAUCUUUCUUAGUUCAAAUGCAGCUUCAAACUGUGUUACCCUGGGCAAGUCACUUAACAUUGCCUCAGUUUCCUUUUCUGUCAAAUAAGCUGGAAAAGGAAAUGGCAAACUACCCCUAUGUCUUUGACAAGAAAACCCCAAAUGGAGUCACAAAGAGAUGGACAUAACUGAAAAACAACUGAACCAUAGCAGCAGAAAUGUGACUUGAGGGAAACUGGAUUAAAAGAGAUUUUGGA
RNAcentral lists this long non-coding RNA (1680 nucleotides) under Monodelphis domestica (gray short-tailed opossum). RNAcentral describes it as "lncRNA (ENSMODG00000044106.1)". Lineage: Eukaryota; Metazoa; Chordata; Mammalia; Didelphimorphia; Didelphidae. The record is from RNAcentral.